Long non-coding RNA from Daphnia pulex (common water flea), 406 nucleotides. RefSeq lists it as uncharacterized. The transcript has 2 exons. NCBI's taxonomy places the organism in Eukaryota, Metazoa, Arthropoda, Branchiopoda, Diplostraca, Daphniidae. The record is from RefSeq and is a predicted model, not a curated record.
UAUCUUCUCAUCCCAAAAUUGCAAAUCACGGGAAUUUUAUGUACAGAAUGUUGAUCAAAGCGGCAGCAUUUUUUGGCCCCCCGCCUCGACCGAAAUCAUACCUGGAAAUCGCCGAGGACCUGCAUGGUACCACAGUGACAAUCCUUCUGUUUCUUACUUUUCUACACAAACGUGCCUGUGAAAUUGUUAUCGCAUUUUCGAAGAAGUGAUGAGGGAAUCGUAAAAGAGUUGCGCUAGUUUAUGGUCAAAUGUGCGCCCCCCGAGAUGCGUAUCAUCAAAAUAUAUUUUGUUUUUAUGGCGCAAAUUUAAGUAGCAAUUUUAUGAUUCCAUAUUAUUUACGAGGCAUAUUUUUCACCUUACUUAUCAUUUCUAAAAAAUUUAAAAGAAUACAACCAGAUCAACCUAC